UUUKGCAUUUGKAACAACUUCCCAGGKGAUUUUGAUGGACGCUGACUUUCARAGCUCAUUGCCCUAAAGAYUCCUGGCCUAAGAGKGAGGAAGUCUGAGGAAUCUGGUUUCAGCUCCACUGAWWUCUAACCGCACGUACACCAGGUCCUGCAGAUGACAACCUCUGGUGGAACGGAGUGAUGCUGGAUUCAGUACUCAACACACAAGUGUCAGCUCCUGGGAAGGGCAAAAGCAGCUUCACAGCGACACCAGGGAUGGCAGAGAUGUUCUUCCUCAGCGUUCCCAUGGAGAACACUAGUGUCCUGAGAGAGAAUGCACCUGCUUUGGUGAACACUGACUGUCUCAGCUGUGGCAUGACGACAAGGGCUUGGAGGAAAUGCCAACUGACUCCAGCAGCACAACCUGGAGAACGCGGCUCAGAGAAGACUUGAGAACGUGGCUCAGAGAAGACUUGCAGUGGGUGGGCCCGGCCUCUUCCAGGUGGGGGACUCCCAGGUGAGGCCACUGCUCUGCCCUGGGCCAUCACACUUUGAGAAGGGGACUGGGUGUAGGUAAUGCCCACACUUGGCCAUGAUUCUGCUUCCACAGAGGUCCCAGCUAAAUAGUCUUAAUUAACAAUGUGAUGUUACCUUUAAGGGAUGAAGGUUUAGUGAUUGAGAGAAAUGAGGAAUUCAGGAAUGUGCUUAGCACUGAGCGGUUUCUUAACACAUAUGGUUGGCAAAUCAAGGCACAACUUAAAACCACUCAAUUAAGGUAAUAAAUUAAGCAGUGAAACUAAUUUCUAAAUAUCCCAAAUUUGACACACAUUAUUCCAAAGAUCUCAGACCUCCUCCUGCCAUGGCCUUCCUUUCCUUUGAGCUGCUCAAGCCAUGUAAGUUGCCUCCCCUCUUUCUGUGAUAUCUUCUACCCAUUGGCAACAAAUCCUCUCCAAAGUGUGCAGCAUCUAGCCAUGUCUGAGCUACUGUCAAGGCUCAGCUGUGUGGCCACCACAUGACCUCCUGAC
RNAcentral lists this non-coding RNA (1003 nucleotides) under Homo sapiens (human). The record is from RNAcentral. Lineage: Eukaryota; Metazoa; Chordata; Mammalia; Primates; Hominidae.